Molecule: ribosomal RNA, 267 nt
Filed under: uncultured bacterium
Lineage: Bacteria
Description: partial 16S ribosomal RNA
Rfam family: Bacterial small subunit ribosomal RNA
Source: RNAcentral
UGAGGAAUAUUGCACAAUGGGCGCAAGCCUGAUGCAGCAACGCCGCGUGCGGGACGAAGGCCUUCGGGUCGUAAACCGCUUUUCUGGGGAAAGAGCAAGGACGGUACCUCAGGAAUAAGCCUCGGCUAACUACGUGCCAGCAGCCGCGGUAAAACGAAGGAGGCGAGCGUUAUCCGGAUUUACUGGGCGUAAAGCGAACGCAGGCGGCUCUGUGAGUCGGUCGGGAAAGCCCCCGCCAUAACCGGGAGAGGCCGUUCGAUACUGCGG